Non-coding RNA from Leptonychotes weddellii (Weddell seal), 1917 nucleotides. NCBI's taxonomy places the organism in Eukaryota, Metazoa, Chordata, Mammalia, Carnivora, Phocidae. The record is from RefSeq and is a predicted model, not a curated record.
ACGGGUUCCCCGAUCGCUGUGAAGUUGGAGAGGGGUCCCCAGGUAGGGAUUCUCUUUCUCACAGAAUUUUAGCCACAGAAGAAGCAGUGGCCUGUCUACAAGGGAAAGCUUCGGUCCAAUGACAAACAUACAGACCGCGACUAAAAUGUGUUUCUAUCCCCGAGAUAGGGAAGCUGCAGGAGAUCCAUUUGCCAAACUGGAGUGGCCCUGCAGGCAGUCCAGAGUCUGGGAGCCAUGCAGUUUUCCCCGGACUAUGCUUUGAACAGGUGGGACAAGCAAGUGUGAAGUCUUUCCUGUUGAGAGGCUGUAUGUGUGGUGGUGAAGAGCACAUAUUCUGGAGUGAAAGGUGUGAGUUCAAAUCCCAGCGCCACUGUUUAAUAGCUGUGUGACUUCAUGCUCGUUGGUGUUCCUGUAGGAGCGGAAAAACCUACGUGCACACAAAUACCUGCACAUGAAUGCAUACAACCGCUUCAUUCAUAACUGCCAAGCCUUGGAAGCAAGUUAAAUGUCUUUCAGCAUGUGACUGAAUAAAUUGUGAUUCAUCAAGAUAAAGGAAUAUUAUCCAGCACUAAGAAGAAAUGGACUGCCAGGCCAUGAAGAUGUGUAGAAACCGUAAAUGCAUUAUCACUAAGUGAAAGACGCUAAUCUGAAAAGCAGACUACCAUGCCUGCAGGAAUCUUGCCUGAAAAUGAAGAACCGUAUUCUGCUUCGGUGAAUGACAGUGCACAUGCUGCCGACAUGAAAGCCGUCCCACACGUGGCCAGCAAGAGCCCCUCCCGGCAGCGACGUCCCUGCAUGCCUGCUUCCUGGCCCAGCAUGGUCUUCCAUCGCCCCUGCCCUUUCCCCGUCCCAGCCCUGAAGUCACCCAGUUCUGCAAGGAGCUCUGGUCCUCUCAGUGGGGAAUGGUAUCCAGAAACCCAAAUGUGCUCGUUACUGCGAGGACGUCGCAAUUGCCACGCUCCCCGGGAGACAGAGCUAGGAAGUGUAUGUUAAUAAGUGUGCACAGAUCUCUACCUGCUUUUACAUGUGUAUUUGUUUCUAUAUGGUGAAAACUCUGAGUCCAUAUCAGUACUUCCCAUUGUCAUCCCUCACUACCAUCAUUCUAGCUUUUCCCAUUAUUAUGUUUAUAAGUCCCUUCUUCGAGAAUGAGAAACCUUGCUCUCAUUAUCCCCAGUUUCCUUAUUUCCUCAGGCCUCCUUUUCAUGACCAGUCUCCCAGCCCUGCCAUCGCUCACCUGAGCUCGCCCACACGGAGUCUGUACCCUGCCAGGCCGAGGGCCGCAGACUCUGCUGCACUGACCCUCGAGCACACGGGGGUGGGGUCACUGACCACGGCACAGAUGGAAAUUCACAGAUAACUUCUGACGCUCCAAGAACUUAACUCUAACAGCUGCCUGCUGACUGGGAACCUUGCUGACAACCAUUGACUGACACAGAUUUUGAGUGCCACAUACUGUGUUUUUAUAAUAAAGUAGAUAAAAAAUGUUAAGGAAAUCAUAGGGAAGAGACAAUACAUUGAUGCUGUCCUCUAUUUACCCAAAGACAUCUGCGUAGAGGUGGACACAUGCAGUUCACACCCACAUCGUGCAAGGGUCACCUGUAGUUGCCUUCCUGGGUUGGGCCUGACCUCUGCUACAUGGCCCUCACUUAGGCCUGCCUCAGGGCUGUUUUUAUUUUGAUUAUGUAUAUACUUUUAAUUAAAAGAUUGAGAUAAUUGUGCCGUCACAUGCAGUCGUCAGUCAUAAUACAGGAAGACCCUUCACUCAGAUUCCACCAGUAGUAACAUGUCACAGAUCUGUAGUGCAGUAUCAUAGCCUGGAUGUCGACAUUGUUACAGUGAAGAUGAGAGCACUGGGGGCACCUGGGGGCGCAAUCAGUUAAGGGUCUGACUCUUGGUUUCGGCUCAGGUCAUGAUCUC